GACGGACGCUGGCGGCGCGCCUAACACAUGCAAGUCGAACGGUGACGAGAGCUUCGGCUCUCUGAUCAGUGGCGGACGGGUGAGUAACACGUGAGCAACCUGCCUAUCAGAGGGGGACAACAGUUGGAAACGACUGCUAAUACCGCAUAACGUUGUCGGAAGGCAUCUUCUGACAACCAAAGAUUUAUCGCUGAUAGAUGGGCUCGCGUCUGAUUAGAUAGUUGGUGAGGUAACGGCUCACCAAGUCGACGAUCAGUAGCCGGACUGAGAGGUUGAACGGCCACAUUGGGACUGAGACACGGCCCAGACUCCUACGGGAGGCAGCAGUGGGGGAUAUUGGACAAUGGGGGCAACCCUGAUCCAGCGACGCCGCGUGAGGGAAGAAGGUUUUCGGAUUGUAAACCUCUGUCGACAGGGAAAAUGAUGAUGGUACCUGUGGAGGAAGCCACGGCUAACUACGUGCCAGCAGCCGCGGUAAUACGUAGGUGGCAAGCGUUGUCCGGAAUUACUGGGUGUAAAGGGAGUGUAGGCGGGACGGUAAGUCAGAAGUGAAAAUUAUGGGCUCAACUCAUAACCUGCUUUUGAAACUGCUGUUCUUGAGUGAAGUAGAGGCAAGCGGAAUUCCUAGUGUAGCGGUGAAAUGCGUAGAUAUUAGGAGGAACACCAGUGGCGAAGGCGGCUUGCUGGGCUUUUACUGACGCUGAGGCUCGAAAGCGUGGGGAGCAAACAGGAUUAGAUACCCUGGUAGUCCACGCCGUAAACGAUGAUUACUAGGUGUGGGGGGGAUUGACCCCUUCCGUGCCGCAGUUAACACAAUAAGUAAUCCACCUGGGGAGUACGACCGCAAGGUUGAAACUCAAAGGAAUUGACGGGGGCCCGCACAAGCAGUGGAGUAUGUGGAUUAAUUCGAAGCAACGCGAAGAACCUUACCAGGUCUUGACAUCAAGUGACCGUUCUAGAGAUAGGACCUUCUCUUCGGAGACACGAAGACAGGUGGUGCAUGGUUGUCGUCAGCUCGUGUCGUGAGAUGUUGGGUUAAGUCCCGCAACGAGCGCAACCCUUAUGAUUAGUUGCUACGCAAGAGCACUCUAAUCAGACUGCCGUUGACAAAACGGAGGAAGGUGGGGAUGACGUCAAAUCAUCAUGCCCUUUAUGACCUGGGCCUCACACGUACUACAAUGGCGUUUAACAAAGAGCAGCGAGACCGCGAGGUGGAGCAAAUCUCCAAAAAACGUCUCAGUUCAGAUUGCAGGCUGCAACUCGCCUGCAUGAAGUCGGAAUUGCUAGUAAUCGUAGAUCAGCAUGCUACGGUGAAUACGUUCCCGGGCCUUGUACACACCGCCCGUCAAACCAUGAGAGUUGGCAACACCCGAAGCCGAUAGCCUAACCGCAAGGAGGGCGUCGUCGAAGGUGGGGUCGAUGAUUGGGGUU
Molecule: ribosomal RNA, 1431 nt
Filed under: uncultured bacterium
Lineage: Bacteria
Description: bacterial SSU rRNA
Rfam family: Bacterial small subunit ribosomal RNA
Source: RNAcentral